CGGACGGGUGAGUAACGCGUGAGAAUCUGCCCUCAGGAGGGGGAUAACGGCUGGAAACGGCCGCUAAUACCCCAUAUGCCGCGAGGUGAAAUGAAUUUCGCCUGAGGAUGAGCUCGCGUCUGAUUAGCUAGUUGGUGGGGUAAAGGCCUACCAAGGCUUCGAUCAGUAGCUGGUCUGAGAGGAUGAUCAGCCACACUGGGACUGAGACACGGCCCAGACUCCUACGGGAGGCAGCAGUGGGGAAUUUUCCGCAAUGGGCGAAAGCCUGACGGAGCAACGCCGCGUGAGGGAUGAAGGCCUCUGGGCUGUAAACCUCUAUUUAUCAAGGAAGAAGAUCUGACGGUACUUGAUGAAUAAGCCACGGCUAAUUCCGUGCCAGCAGCCGCGGUAAUACUGGAGUGGCAAGCGUUAUCCGGAAUUAUUGGGCGUAAAGCGUCCGCAGGCGGUCUUUUAAAGUCUGUCGUCAAAGCGUGGAGCUUAACUCCAUUUCUGCGAUGGAAACUGGAAGACUAGAGUGUGGUAGGGGCAGAGGGAAUUCCACGGUGUAGCGGUGAAAUGCGUAGAUAUCGGUAAGAACACCAGUGGCGAAUCGGCGCUCUGCUGGGGCCAUAACUGACGCUCAUGGACGAAGCCAUGGGGAGCGAAAGGGAUUACAUACCCCUGUAGUC
RNAcentral lists this ribosomal RNA (668 nucleotides) under uncultured cyanobacterium. RNAcentral's name for it is "bacterial SSU rRNA". It matches the Rfam family "Bacterial small subunit ribosomal RNA", at positions 99 to 795 of the family's 1533-position model. The record is from RNAcentral. Lineage: Bacteria; Bacillati; Cyanobacteriota.